RNAcentral lists this ribosomal RNA (892 nucleotides) under uncultured bacterium. Its description in RNAcentral is "bacterial SSU rRNA". It matches the Rfam family "Bacterial small subunit ribosomal RNA", at positions 505 to 1397 of the family's 1533-position model. The record is from RNAcentral.
GUGCCAGCCGCCGCGGUAAUACGUAGGUGGCAAGCGUUGUCCGGAUUUAUUGGGCGUAAAGCGAGCGCAGGCGGUUUCUUAAGUCUGAUGUGAAAGCCUUCGGCUCAACCGAAGAAGUGCAUCGGAAACUGGGAAACUUGAGUGCAGAAGAGGACAGUGGAACUCCAUGUGUAGCGGUGAAAUGCGUAGAUAUAUGGAAGAACACCAGUGGCGAAGGCGGCUGUCUGGUCUGUAACUGACGCUGAGGCUCGAAAGCAUGGGUAGCAAACAGGAUUAGAUACCCUGGUAGUCCAUGCCGUAAACGAUGAGUGCUAGGUGUUGGAGGGUUUCCGCCCUUCAGUGCCGCAGCUAACGCAUUAAGCACUCCGCCUGGGGAGUACGACCGCAAGGUUGAAACUCAAAGGAAUUGACGGGGGCCCGCACAAGCGGUGGAGCAUGUGGUUUAAUUCGAAGCAACGCGAAGAACCUUACCAGGUCUUGACAUCCUUUGACCACUCUAGAGAUAGAGCUUUCCCUUCGGGGACAAAGUGACAGGUGGUGCAUGGUUGUCGUCAGCUCGUGUCGUGAGAUGUUGGGUUAAGUCCCGCAACGAGCGCAACCCUUAUUACUAGUUGCCAGCAUUUAGUUGGGCACUCUAGUGAGACUGCCGGUGACAAACCGGAGGAAGGUGGGGACGACGUCAAAUCAUCAUGCCCCUUAUGACCUGGGCUACACACGUGCUACAAUGGAUGGUACAACGAGUUGCGAGACCGCGAGGUUUAGCUAAUCUCUUAAAACCAUUCUCAGUUCGGAUUGUAGGCUGCAACUCGCCUACAUGAAGCCGGAAUCGCUAGUAAUCGCGGAUCAGCAUGCCGCGGUGAAUACGUUCCCAGGCCUUGUACACACCGCCCGU